UAGCCGCCAUACACACAGAAUUAUGCGAGUUUUAGCCUCUUUAUGCACCCUGCGCCUAAUUUAGAUUGUAAAGGGACGUCUCUGACUAACCUGAAGUUAGCUCGUAUCUAAAAUUAUUUUGUAGCAGUCGGGUUUUAAGUGAAAACCCGUUACAUUAGCCUGUAGCUCUUUUGACAGCUGUCAUUGCAAAAGAGAGCCGGAAAUGGUUAUUUUCCAGUGUUGUCAUCAACGUCAUCAUCGUCGUCGUCAUACAGUCAUAGCUGUUGACCUGACAGAAAUCAUAGAGCUAUCAGAGGUGCUGGUCGCUGGAAAUGUGUUCAUUUGCGGAGCGAUGGUGCGGCACCUGAGCUCUGCUGAGGGAAGGAUGAGAGGAUGAAGGGAAGGAGGGAGAGAGAGACGGAUCGCCAGUCAUCUCUGGACCAGCAGGUCCAUAUUUAAACUGUCCCUUUGUUUUAUAGCCAUGCAUGUGAACCAGUGGCUUGGUGUUUAGGGACCAUAUAUCAGUGUUAAAAUGGCAGAUUACUGUUAAUGAAUGAUAUUUGUGUUCAGCGGGUAUGUCAGAAAGGCGGAGUGACCAGAAAAAACAAUCCACCUUCCCCCUCUUGUGCUUUUGUUCACCAUCUCGGUCGUCUUAUGAGCCCAUUUUGUCCCUCUCUUCCUUACAUCUCAUUUAGUGGCUGAUAUUUAACUGUCCUUAAUUCUUCUUGGGCUGCUUGGGCUUAGGAGAGCUGCAUGUGUAAUCCACUCCCCACAAGUUCUUAUGGAGCCAGACUCCACUGUCUGCUUCACAGGACGCUUCUGCUUACGUUAGGGAUUAUAACAAAUUAGAAAAUAUAGUGACGUAAGUGAUGCAGUGAUUUCAUAUGCAUGUAUUCUUUAUUUGUAGCCGCUUGGUAGUGUAUUUGUAAGUGGUAAGUGUAGUGGUUGCACUUGCAUGUGAAGUUGACCGUUUUUGUUAUUUCUUCCUGUGAUGAAUCUCAAGGAAGGAUAUGAUGAAAUGGAGUAGACCGUGCCAGGACAUAUUCCCACAAUGCUAUUUACACAGUUUUUCACAAACAGUGGGUGAAAAACAUUAGUUCUGGGCAGAGGACUUGAAAUGAGUCAUAUGAAGUGAAAUGAGUCAUUACAGUCUCAAUGUGAAAAGCAUGUGAUACAAUUUACCCAAAAACUUAAAUGUAUUUAUUUACCUUCAUGUUUUUACAAGCCUAUGUGACUUUACUUUUUAUGCAGAAAACAAAAGAAGAUAUUUAGAAAAAUGCUGGUAA
Triplophysa dalaica is the source of this 1265-nucleotide long non-coding RNA. RefSeq lists it as uncharacterized. The transcript has 3 exons. NCBI's taxonomy places the organism in Eukaryota, Metazoa, Chordata, Actinopteri, Cypriniformes, Nemacheilidae. The record is from RefSeq and is a predicted model, not a curated record.